This 464-nucleotide ribosomal RNA is filed under the name uncultured bacterium. RNAcentral describes it as "bacterial SSU rRNA". It matches the Rfam family "Bacterial small subunit ribosomal RNA", at positions 28 to 507 of the family's 1533-position model. The record is from RNAcentral.
GACGAACGCUGGCGGCGUGCCUAACACAUGCAAGUCGAACGGAAGUAGAGACUUCGGUUUUUACUUUAGUGGCGAACGGGUGAGUAACGCGUGAGGAACCUACCUUUCAGUGGGGGACAACAGUUGGAAACGGCUGCUAAUACCGCAUGACACAUACUUAUCGCAUGUUAGGUAUGUCAAAGGAGCAAUCCGCUGAUAGAUGGGCUUGCGUCUGAUUAGAUAGUUGGUAGGGUAACGGCCUACCAAGUCGACGAUCAGUAGCCGGACUGAGAGGUUGAACGGCCACAUUGGGACUGAGAUACGGCCCAGACUCCUACGGGAGGCAGCAGUGGGGAAUAUUGCACAAUGGGGGAAACCCUGAUGCAGCGACGCCGCGUGGAGGAAGAAGGUCUUCGGAUUGUAAACUCCUGUUGUCAAGGACGAUAAUGACGGUACUUGACAAGAAAGCCACGGCUAACUACGUG